GUGAUGCCUGCCCAGUGACACCACGUUUAACGGCCGCGGUAUCCUAACCGUGCAAAGGUAGCGCAAUCAAUUGUCCCAUAAAUCGAGACUUGUAUGAACGGCUAAACGAGGUCUUAACUGUCUCCUGCAGACAAUCAGUGAAACUGAUCUCCCUGUGCAAAAGCAGGAAUAAACACACAAGACGAGAAGACCCUGUGGAACUUUAAAAUCAAUAGCCACCACACACCCAACCCUUCAAACCCACCGGGCCCACCACCACAAAAAGCUGGCUAACAUUUUUAGGUUGGGGCGACCUUGGAGAAAAACAAACCCUCCAAAAACAAGGCCAAACUCCUUAACCAAGAGCAACCCCUCAACGUGCCAAAAGCACCCAGACCCAAUAAAAUUGACCAAUGAACCAAGCUACCCCAGGGAUAACAGCGCAAUCUCCCCCAAGAGCCCCUAUCGACGAGGAGGUUUACGACCUCGAUGUUGGAUCAGGACAUCCUAGUGGUGCAGUCGCUAC
RNAcentral lists this ribosomal RNA (505 nucleotides) under Psittrichas fulgidus. RNAcentral's name for it is "partial 16S ribosomal RNA". It matches the Rfam family "Bacterial large subunit ribosomal RNA", at positions 1852 to 2565 of the family's 2925-position model. The record is from RNAcentral. Lineage: Eukaryota; Metazoa; Chordata; Aves; Psittaciformes; Psittacidae.